Molecule: long non-coding RNA, 547 nt
Filed under: Phascolarctos cinereus (koala)
Lineage: Eukaryota; Metazoa; Chordata; Mammalia; Diprotodontia; Phascolarctidae
Description: lncRNA (ENSPCIG00000033275.1)
Source: RNAcentral
CAACAUUUUCAAGAAUGUGUUUUUAUCCAGGCUAAGGGUGCUUUCUCAUCUUUUUUCCUUCUCAGUCAUCAAGUGCAUAUAAAGGGAGGGUCCACGCCCAGGGUUGCCAAGCAGUGGGCAUCCUGCAAACUCUAAGUCUAUUCCUGAAAGUGUUCUCCUCCUAUGUCCAAGGACCAUGGUCUCCUUGGUGGUCCUCUCCAUCCUCAUCAUCUUGGUAGCAGGCCUGUGCUUUGAACCCAAGCAUGACAUGACACCCCAAAGGACUGCUGCUUCCACUAUUCCUCUUGCAAGAUUCCCAGUGUAGUUGCUUGUUAUGAGACCAGCAGCUGGUGCCCCAAGCCAGGAGUCAUGGUCAUCACCAAGACACAGCGCCAGUUCUGUGUCCACCCAAGGAAUGUCACAAACUGUGGCAUUUCCCUACUACCAGAGAAAGUCCUAGAGAUGGAAAUCUUCUAGAAGAUUAUGGAAUACCAUUCUCAGAUAACACCUCCCUAUAUAUGCAUAUGAUUUCUCAAAAAUAAACUUACAUUGGACUUAAUAGGACUCA